UAAGGAAUAUUGGUCAAUGGACGAAAGUCUGAACCAGCCAUCCCGCGUGCAGGAUGACGGCCCUAUGGGUUGUAAACUGCUUUUAGCAGAGACGAAACGCUGUCAUUUAUGAUGGUCUGACGGUAUCUGCAGAAUAAGCACCGGCUAACUCCGUGCCAGCAGCCGCGGUAAUACGGAGGGUGCAAGCGUUAUCCGGAAUCACUGGGUUUAAAGGGUGCGUAGGCGGAAAAUUAAGUCAGUGGUGAAAGCCUGUCGCUUAACGAUAGAACUGCCAUUGAUACUGAUUUUCUUGAAUUGGGUUGAGGUUAGCGGAAUGUGACAUGUAGCGGUGAAAUGCAUAGAUAUGUCAUGGAACACCAAUUGCGAAGGCAGCUAGCUGGGCCUUGAUUGACGCUGAGGCACGAAAGCGUGGGUAGCGAACAGGAUUAGAUACCCUGGUAGUCCACGCCCUAAACGAUGCUAACUCGAUGUUUGGGCAGUAAGCUUGAGCAUCCAAGGGAAACCGAUAAGUUAGCCACCUGGGGAGUACGACCGCAAGGUUG
This 542-nucleotide ribosomal RNA is filed under the name uncultured bacterium. RNAcentral's name for it is "bacterial SSU rRNA". It matches the Rfam family "Bacterial small subunit ribosomal RNA", at positions 355 to 896 of the family's 1533-position model. The record is from RNAcentral.